This 468-nucleotide ribosomal RNA is filed under the name uncultured bacterium. RNAcentral's name for it is "partial 16S ribosomal RNA". It matches the Rfam family "Bacterial small subunit ribosomal RNA", at positions 28 to 507 of the family's 1533-position model. The record is from RNAcentral.
GACGAACGCUGGCGGCGUGCUUAACACAUGCAAGUCGAACGGAAAGGCCCUGCUUUUGUGGGGUGCUCGAGUGGCGAACGGGUGAGUAACACGUGAGUAACCUGCCCUUGACUUUGGGAUAACUUCAGGAAACUGGGGCUAAUACCGGAUAGGAGCUCCUGCUGCAUGGUGGGGGUUGGAAAGUUUCGGCGGUUGGGGAUGGACUCGCGGCUUAUCAGCUUGUUGGUGGGGUAGUGGCUUACCAAGGCUUUGACGGGUAGCCGGCCUGAGGGGGUGACCGGCCACAUUGGGGCUGAGAUACGGCCCAGACUCCUACGGGAGGCAGCAGUGGGGAAUAUUGCUCAAUGGGCGGAAGCCUGAUGCAGCAACGCCGCGUGCGGGAUGACGGCCUUCGGGUUGUAAACCGCUUUCGCCUGUGACGAAGCGUGAGUGACGGUAAUGGGUAAAGAAGCACCGGCUAACUACGUG